Molecule: ribosomal RNA, 918 nt
Filed under: uncultured bacterium
Lineage: Bacteria
Description: bacterial SSU rRNA
Rfam family: Bacterial small subunit ribosomal RNA
Source: RNAcentral
AGAGUUUGAUCAUGGCUCAGGAUGAACGCUGGCGGCGUGCCUAACACAUGCAAGUCGAACGGGUGUGGUAUCAGGGAAAAGGGGUUUACUUCUUUGACCAGAUAACACACUAGUGGCGGACGGGUGAGUAACGCGUGGAUAACCUGCCUUAUACAGGGGGAUAACAGGGAGAAAUUCUUGCUAAUACCCCAUAGGUAUGUCUGACGCAUGUUGGACAUAUUAAAGCUUUGGCGGUAUAAGAUGGGUCCGCGUCUGAUUAGCUAGUUGGUGGGGUAAAGGCCCACCAAGGCGACGAUCAGUAGCCGGCUUGAGAGAGUGGACGGCCACAUUGGGACUGAGACACGGCCCAAACUCCUACGGGAGGCAGCAGUGGGGAAUAUUGCACAAUGGGGGAAACCCUGAUGCAGCGACGCCGCGUGAAGGAAGAAGGUCUUCGGAUCGUAAACUUCUAUCAGCAGGGAAGAAGGAAGUGACAGUACCUGAGUAAGAAGCCCCGGCUAACUACGUGCCAGCAGCCGCGGUAAUACGUAGGGGGCGAGCGUUAUCCGGAAUUACUGGGUGUAAAGGGUGCGUAGGCGGUAUGGCAAGUCAGUUGUGAAACCCCCUGGCUCAACCAGGGGCUUGCAAUUGAAACUGUCAUACUAGAGUGCAGGAGAGGAAAGCGGAAUUCCUAGUGUAGCGGUGAAAUGCGUAGAUAUUAGGAAGAACACCAGUGGCGAAGGCGGCUUUCUGGACUGUAACAGACGCUGAGGCACGAAAGCGUGGGGAGCGAACAGGAUUAGAUACCCUGGUAGUCCACGCCGUAAACGAUGAGUGCUAGGUGUCGGGGUCUAAUUAGAUCUCGGUGCUGAAGUUAACGCAUUAAGCACUCCACCUGGGGAGUACGAUCGCAAGAUUGAAACUCAAAUGAAUUGACGG